This 1074-nucleotide long non-coding RNA is filed under the name Struthio camelus australis. RNAcentral describes it as "lncRNA (ENSSCUG00000000873.1)". Lineage: Eukaryota; Metazoa; Chordata; Aves; Struthioniformes; Struthionidae. The record is from RNAcentral.
AGCAGUCUGGGUCCCUGGACGCAGCCUGAGCCUGCGGGUGCUUCGCGGCCGUGGCUCCCUGCUGCACCCUGCCAGCUGGGCAGCCUCGAGGACCCGCUCGCCCCAGCACACAGCUCUGUGGGCCAGCUCGGCUCCGUGGGGUGCCUGGCUCUGCACCUUGCCCAGGGCCUCCCUGGGCUAGUGCCCAGCACCAGCACUCGCCAGCCCCAGCCUGGCUCUUUGUCAUGCCUUUUCCUGCACCCUCUCCUGCUGCAGGAAGGCUCACUCUGGGUGCCGUGGGCACAUGGCUCUGUCCCUGAGGCUGGGCACCGACACCUUCCCAGAGGGGCACGUGGUGGGGCAGAGGGGCAUUUCACAGGGUAUUUCACAAGCUGGCACCAGCUGUUUCUCCCCUCUGCCCCCAACCAUGUCCCUCCUCCCCAUGCCCUUCACCUGCCCUCCUGCCUGCCAUCACCUCCCUCUUCUGAGUGCCCUGCCAAGGCUGUGCAGUGGGCACCAGGCACUGCUGCCCAGCUGCCGUGCCACCUUUAUGGUGUCUCCCCUUCUUUUUCUCCCUUGCCUCAGCAUUCAUCUCUUAGAGCCUCAGCAUCCAUUCCAGUAUGGGAGCCACCUGCACUGCUUUCCGCAUUGGCUUACUGGCGGCACUGGGAGAGGGAGGAGCUACCCCCCAGGAUUGGUUUUGAAGCUGGGAGUUGGAUAGCAUCAGGUGGGGGCAAAGAACAGGGCAGCCUUGAGGGCCCCAACCUCAGCCUGGCCAGUGGGGAGCAGUGCCCAGGCAGUGUUGGGGAAGGAAGGACGGACCAAGGUGGCUAUGGUCAUGCUCGUGUGCAGCCAGCAGCAGCCCCUGCUGGCACAUCCUCGACUGGCAGUGCCACCCGGGGUGGGCAGUGGGCAGGAGGAGCACCCUUGCGGCCAGUGCCCCUCCUUUCUGCAGAGGGUCCUGCUGCUGGCUCAGGGAGGGGGGGUGCUGAGCCAGUGCAGCUUGGCCUCAUGCCACCUCCUGCCUGCAUGCCACCUCCAGCCUCCAUGCCACCUCCUCUGCAGCCUGGAGCUGUGCCCAAAGAAGGGCUGUGA